AACGAACGCUGGCGGCAUGCCUAACACAUGCAAGUCGAACGAGACCUUCGGGUCUAGUGGCGCACGGGUGCGUAACGCGUGGGAACCUGCCCUUAGGUUCGGAAUAACUCCCCGAAAGGGGUGCUAAUACCGGAUAAUGUCUUCGGACCAAAGAUUUAUCGCCUUUGGAUGGGCCCGCGUUGGAUUAGCUAGUUGGUAGGGUAAAAGCCUACCAAGGCGACGAUCCAUAGUUGGUCUGAGAGGAUGAUCAGCCACACUGGGACUGAGACACGGCCCAGACUCCUACGGGAGGCAGCAGUGGGGAAUAUUGGACAAUGGGCGAAAGCCUGAUCCAGCAAUGCCGCGUGAGUGAUGAAGGCCUUAGGGUUGUAAAGCUCUUUUACCCGGGAUGAUAAUGACAGUACCGGGAGAAUAAGCACCGGCUAACUCCGUG
This 433-nucleotide ribosomal RNA is filed under the name uncultured bacterium. RNAcentral describes it as "partial 16S ribosomal RNA". It matches the Rfam family "Bacterial small subunit ribosomal RNA", at positions 29 to 507 of the family's 1533-position model. The record is from RNAcentral.